This 112-nucleotide ribosomal RNA is filed under the name Chloroflexi bacterium ADurb.Bin180. The record is from RNAcentral. Lineage: Bacteria; Bacillati; Chloroflexota.
UGGUGACAAGAGCGGUGAGGACACACCCGGACCCAUCUCGAACCCGGCAGUUAAGCUCACCAGCGCUGAUGGUACUUGGGGGGUAGCCCCCUGGGAGAGUAGGUCGUUGCCA